AAAUCGCUGCCUUCUGCAGGUUUCCUCCCGGUGCCCAAUCCAGCUGUAUCUCCAGGGCACAAAGUAGGCACUCAGUACAUUCUUGAUGACUAUAUGAAUGGUACAUUAGCUGUGAUCAAGUGAACUCACCAAACUGUCCUUCACGUCUGGUUCCGCCAGAAUUGUAUAGACUCACCUACAGAUGUGUGAGGCUGCACAGUGUGGGACAACUCUUCCCAAUGACGGUGAUGUCACUGAGCUGGCAAAGGCAGGUCAAGACAAGGGAGGGAAAGAGGCUGACAGCCUGCAGACAGAGUAAUAGACAUGGACGCAGAGGAGUGAAAGUGACCAGGAAGGCAGCAAACGAACAAGAAGAUAGAAAAGGAAAAGAAUGUCACAGUGAAAGUUAAAUACAAUUAAGGCUAAAAAGGAGUUAAAUUUGGGCUUCCCUGGUGGUACAGUGGUUAAGAAUCCACCUGCCAAUGCAGGGGACACGGGUUCGAGCCCUGGUCUGGGAAGAUCCCACAUGCCGCGGAACAACUAAGCCCGUGCGCCACAACUACUGAGCCUGUGCUCUAGAGCCCACAAGCCACAACUACUGAAGCCUGCGCACCUAGAGCCCGUGCUCCGCAACAAGAGAAGCCACUGCAAUGAGAAGCCCGUACACCUCAACGAAGAGUAGCUCCCACUUGCCACAACUAGAGAAAGCCCGUGCACAGCAACGAAGA
Molecule: long non-coding RNA, 707 nt
Organism: Balaenoptera ricei (Rice's whale)
Lineage: Eukaryota; Metazoa; Chordata; Mammalia; Artiodactyla; Balaenopteridae
Exons: 4
Source: RefSeq, a predicted model, not a curated record